UGAGGAAUAUUGGGCAAUGCCCGCAAGGGUGACCCAGCAACGCCGCGUGGAGGAUGAAUGUCGUAAGAUUGUAAACUCCUGUUAGAGGGGAAGAAUAGUACCGGUUGGACCGGUAUAUGACUGUACCCUCAGAGAAAGCCCCGGCUAACUACGUGCCAGCAGCCGCGGUAAUACGUAGGGGGCAAGCGUUGUCCGGAUUUACUGGGUGUAAAGGGCGCGCAGGCGGGAUAAAAAGUCAGUGGUGAAAUCCUACAGCUUAACUGUAGAACUGCCUUUGAUACUUUUAUUCUUGAGUUCGGGAGAGAGAGACGGAAUUCCAGGUGUAGUGGUGAAAUACGUAGAUAUCUGGAAGAACACCAGUUGCGAAGGCGGUCUCUUGGUCCGACACUGACGCUGAGGCGCGAAAACGUGGGGAGCAAACA
RNAcentral lists this ribosomal RNA (422 nucleotides) under uncultured bacterium. RNAcentral describes it as "bacterial SSU rRNA". It matches the Rfam family "Bacterial small subunit ribosomal RNA", at positions 355 to 774 of the family's 1533-position model. The record is from RNAcentral.